UACGUAGGGGGCAAGCGUUGUCCGGAUUUAUUGGGCGUAAAGAGCUCGUAGGCGGUUUGGUAAGUCUGGUGUGAAAUCUCCCGGCUUAACUGGGAGGGUGCGGUGGAAACUGGGGUGCUUGAGUGUGGGAGAGGUAAGCGGAAUUCCUGGUGUAGCGGUGAAAUGCGUAGAUAUCAGGAGGAACACCGGUGGUGUAGACGGCUUACUGGACCACGACUGACACUGAGGCACGAAAGCGUGGGUAGCAAACAGG
RNAcentral lists this ribosomal RNA (253 nucleotides) under uncultured bacterium. RNAcentral's name for it is "partial 16S ribosomal RNA". It matches the Rfam family "Bacterial small subunit ribosomal RNA", at positions 524 to 776 of the family's 1533-position model. The record is from RNAcentral.